UGGGGAAUUUUGGACAAUGGGCGAAAGCCUGAUCCAGCAAUGCCGCGUGUGUGAAGAAGGCCUUCGGGUUGUAAAGCACUUUUGUCCGGAAAGAAAUGGCUCUGGUUAAUACCUGGGGUCGAUGACGGUACCGGAAGAAUAAGGACCGGCUAACUACGUGCCAGCAGCCGCGGUAAUACGUAGGGUCCAAGCGUUAAUCGGAAUUACUGGGCGUAAAGCGUGCGCAGGCGGUUGUGCAAGACCGAUGUGAAAUCCCCGAGCUUAACUUGGGAAUUGCAUUGGUGACUGCACGGCUAGAGUGUGUCAGAGGGGGGUAGAAUUCCACGUGUANNGUGAAAUGCAGUAGAGAUGUGGAGGAAUACCGAUGGCGAAGGCAGCCCCCCUGGGAUAACACUGACGCUCAUGCACGAAAGCGUGGGGAGCAAACAGGAUUAGAUACCCUGGUAGUCCACGCCCUAAAACGAUGUCAACUAGUUGUUGGGGAUUCAUUUCCGUAGUAACGUAGCUAACGCGUGAAGUUGACCGCCUGGGGAGUACGGUCGCAAGAUUAAAAAGCUCAAAGGAAUUGACGGGGGUCAUAGCAUG
This 585-nucleotide ribosomal RNA is filed under the name uncultured bacterium. RNAcentral's name for it is "partial 16S ribosomal RNA". It matches the Rfam family "Bacterial small subunit ribosomal RNA", at positions 355 to 929 of the family's 1533-position model. The record is from RNAcentral.